RNAcentral lists this ribosomal RNA (254 nucleotides) under uncultured bacterium. Its description in RNAcentral is "partial 16S ribosomal RNA". It matches the Rfam family "Bacterial small subunit ribosomal RNA", at positions 524 to 776 of the family's 1533-position model. The record is from RNAcentral.
CACGUAGGGGGCAAGCGUUGUCCGGAUUUAUUGGGCGUAAAGAGCUCGUAGGCGGCUUAGCAAGUCGGGUGUGAAAACUUCAGGCUCAACCUGGAGCGGCCAUCCGAUACUGCUAUGGCUAGAGUCCGGUAGGGGACCACGGAAUUCCUGGUGUAGCGGUGAAAUGCGCAGAUAUCAGGAGGAACACCGGUGGCGAAGGCGGUGGUCUGGGCCGGAACUGACGCUGAAUAGCGAAAGCGUGGGUAGCGAACAGG